GGGACUACAGGCGCCCGCCAUCACGCCCGGCUGCUUUUUUUGUUUUAGUAGAGAGGAGGUUUCACCGUGUUAGCCAGGAUGGUCUCAAUCUCCUGACCUCGUGAUCCGCCCGCCUCGGCCUCUCAAAGUGCUGGGAUUACACGCGUGAGCCACCGCGCCUGGCCUGAAGAAAGUUAAAAGAAAAGCUUUUUGAAUGAAUCACUUCUCAUCUUCUCCGAAGUUGGAAGCAUCAAGAAUCUAAAUAAGCAUUUAUGAUGGCUGGCAUGAAUAUGCGGAAGAUAGAAUGGGAGUCCUAGUUGACCUUCAUAUAAUUUUUAGAAGAUGGAGCACUUCAACUUCUUCCACUCAUGAAAAGAGAGGUGACAGGUGAAGACAGAACAAGAAAACAAACCAAGAAUUUCCCCUCACCAGCCACCAGCUCUGCCAGCAACUUGAUCUUAGACUUCCCAGCCUCCGUAACGCCUCUGCUUAUAAUCUGUCAUGGAUUGGAAAACUAGAAAAAACAGUUUACAGAGUAUAACAAACUUUGGAGGAGUUAAUCGACUCUAAGUAAAAGAGUAUCUAGCACGGCUGUGGAACAAAGGAGAGACUCACAAACUGUUGAAAGAAUAAAUGAAUGAAUGAAUUCUGUUCAUGAGCUUUAAUAAAACAGCUCUGAGUAGUAACAGUGGAUCAAAUUUAGGCUUCUUGAUGCAGGCAUGGUGUAGAUUACUACUUCUGUAUUGUCCCAGGAGCUCAGCACAUUCCUGCAGAGAUGAUAGGAGCUCAUCUGAUACUUGUCAGCUUUGAAUAAACUCCAGUCCCCAAGAGAGAGAAUGAGAAUCACCGGAAUACGAAACUUCCCUGUUGGACUUCCCAACAUUCUUGAAUGCACCAAGAUAGCCUCUUGCUGUGAGAUUAAUAAAUGAAUAAAUGCCUCCAUAUUUUUCAAAUCUGUGAAGUUAACAA
Molecule: long non-coding RNA, 948 nt
Filed under: Homo sapiens (human)
Lineage: Eukaryota; Metazoa; Chordata; Mammalia; Primates; Hominidae
Description: novel transcript
Source: RNAcentral